ACAGCAGUCGCCACGGGAAUACGAGGGGAGCUAGCGUUAUUCGGAAUUACUGGGCGUAAAGCGCACGUAGGCGGCUUUGUAAGUUAGAGGUGAAAGCCCAGAGCUCAACUCUGGAAUUGCCUUUAAGACUGCAUCGCUUGAAUCCAGGAGAGGUGAGUGGAAUUCCGAGUGUAGAGGUGAAAUUCGUAGAUAUUCGGAAGAACACCAGUGGCGAAGGCGGCUCACUGGACUGGUAUUGACGCUGAGGUGCGAAAGCGUGGGGAGCAAACAGGAUUAGAGACCCCCGUAGUCCCUGUCUCUUAUAU
This 305-nucleotide ribosomal RNA is filed under the name uncultured bacterium. RNAcentral describes it as "partial 16S ribosomal RNA". It matches the Rfam family "Bacterial small subunit ribosomal RNA", at positions 505 to 809 of the family's 1533-position model. The record is from RNAcentral.